RNAcentral lists this ribosomal RNA (478 nucleotides) under uncultured bacterium. RNAcentral describes it as "partial 16S ribosomal RNA". It matches the Rfam family "Bacterial small subunit ribosomal RNA", at positions 28 to 523 of the family's 1533-position model. The record is from RNAcentral.
GACGAACGCUGGCGGCGUGCUUAACACAUGCAAGUCGAACGGUAAGGCCCUUCGGGGUACACGAGUGGCGAACGGGUGAGUAACACGUGGGUGAUCUGCCCUGCACUUCGGGAUAAGCCUGGGAAACUGGGUCUAAUACCGGAUAGGACCACUGCCUGCAUGGGUGGUGGUGGAAAGCUUUUGCGGUGUGGGAUGGGCCCGCGGCCUAUCAGCUUGUUGGUGGGGUGAUGGCCUACCAAGGCGACGACGGGUAGCCGGCCUGCGAGGGUGACCGGCCCGCCUGGGGCUGAGAUACGGCCCAGACUCCUACGGGAGGCAGCAGUGGGGAAUAUUGCACAAUGGGCGCAAGCCUGAUGCAGCGACGCCGCGUGAGGGAUGACGGCCUUCGGGUUGUAAACCUCUUUCAGCACCGACGAAGCGCAAGUGACGGUAGGUGCAGAAGAAGGACCGGCCAACUACGUGCCAGCCGCCGCCGUAA